CGCCUUGCCAGCCCGCUCAGAACUUAAAUGAAUUGACGGGGGCCCGCACAAGCGGCGGAGCAUGCGGAUUAAUUCGAUGCAACGCGAAGAACCUUACCAAGGCUUGACAUGCACCGGAAACCAUCAGAGAUGGUGGCUCCGUAAGGCUGGUGCACAGGUGGUGCAUGGUUGUCGUCAGCUCGUGUCGUGAGGUGUUGGGUUAAGUCCCGCAACGAGCGCAACCCUCGUACUUAGUUGCCACCAUUAAGUUGGGCACUCUAGGUAGACUGCCGGCGUUAAGCCGGAGGAAGGUGGGGACGACGUCAAGUCAUCAUGGCCCUUAUGUCCAGGGCCACACACGUGCUACAAUGGGCGGCACAAAGGGUCGCGAACCCGCGAGGGGGAGCCAAUCCCAAAAAGCCGUUCUCAGUUCGGAUUGUUCUCUGCAACUCGAGAGCAUGAAGUUGGAAUCGCUAGUAAUCGCGGAUCAGCUCGCCGCGGUGAAUACGUUCCCGGGCCUU
This 500-nucleotide ribosomal RNA is filed under the name uncultured Pseudomonadota bacterium. RNAcentral describes it as "bacterial SSU rRNA". It matches the Rfam family "Bacterial small subunit ribosomal RNA", at positions 903 to 1382 of the family's 1533-position model. The record is from RNAcentral. Lineage: Bacteria; Pseudomonadati; Pseudomonadota.